This 489-nucleotide long non-coding RNA is filed under the name Mus pahari (shrew mouse). RNAcentral describes it as "lncRNA (MGP_PahariEiJ_G0005892.1)". The record is from RNAcentral. Lineage: Eukaryota; Metazoa; Chordata; Mammalia; Rodentia; Muridae.
GAGGCUGAGCUCUAGCAACAUCCCGGAAUUGAUACAAAAUAAAUUAUUUAGGGGGCUACGAGAGGAGCAAUUUACAAACUGAUAAAGGACCCCAAGUAUGUGACCGGCAAGCCCAAGGCUUCUGUGUUUCCCGGAGAGCGCCUGGAGGAUCUGCACUGCGUCUCUGAAGGACUACUAGGACAGACCUGACCAAAAGUCUCACUCACCGAGCUCUCUGACCACCCUGGGGUGUCUACACACCGUUCCUCCCAUGAGAGCAGCUCCUUGUUCAGAGAGCUCUCCAUAUCACCUUGGGUUCUGGAAACCAAACAAGUCCUCUGCAAGAACCGCCAGUGCUCCUAACAGAAAUGGGUCAUUUUCAUGAGGCCAUUGGCAGAUUCCUCUUCGGCCAUUGUUCUUAUGGGGCUGCUUUGCCUGUGGCUUCCUGCACUCAGAAGCACCCCACAUUGUACCCCACAUUGCACAGUCUCAAAACAGUUUCACUUUCAA